CCCUAGUAUAAUUUUAUUGGAGUUAAUUAGUAAAUGUAUAAAAAUUAAAAAUUUUGGCGGUUAAUUAUAUUAUUAGAGGAGCUUGUUUAAAUGAGAAUUUACUCUUUAUAUCUUAAUAUUUAUUAGUUUAUUCAUUUCUGUUAUUUGGUGGGAAGUUGAAUUUAAUUUUUUUUUUUUAUUUCAGGUCAAGAUGUAGCAUAUAAUAUAUUUAAGAUUAGCUACAAUUAUUAAAAUAAUAUAUAAUGAUUUGUAAUAAAUUUAUUAUAAAUUGGAUUUAGUUGUAAUAAUUAUUAGAAUGUAAUUAUGAUUUUGUAUAAUUAAUGU
Molecule: ribosomal RNA, 324 nt
Filed under: Longiperna kuryi
Lineage: Eukaryota; Metazoa; Arthropoda; Arachnida; Opiliones; Gonyleptidae
Description: partial 12S ribosomal RNA
Source: RNAcentral